GACGAACGCUGGCGGCGUGCCUAAUACAUGCAAGUUGAGCGAUGAAGAUUGGUGCUUGCACCAAUUUGAAGAGCAGCGAACGGGUGAGUAACGCGUGGGGAAUCUGCCUUUGAGCGGGGGACAACAUUUGGAAACGAAUGCUAAUACCGCAUAACAACUUUAAACAUAAGUUUUAAGUUUGAAAGAUGCAAUUGCAUCACUCAAAGAUGAUCCCGCGUUGUAUUAGCUAGUUGGUGAGGUAAAGGCUCACCAAGGCGAUGAUACGUAGCCGACCUGAGAGGGUGAUCGGCCACAUUGGGACUGAGACACGGCCCAAACUCCUACGGGAGGCAGCAGUAGGGAAUCUUCGGCAAUGGACGAAAGUCUGACCGAGCAACGCCGCGUGAGUGAAGAAGGUUUUCGGAUCGUAAAACUCUGUUGGUAGAGAAGAACGUUGGUGAGAGUGGAAAGCGCAUCAAGUGACGGUAACUACCCAGAAAGGGACGGCUAACUACGU
Molecule: ribosomal RNA, 496 nt
Filed under: uncultured bacterium
Lineage: Bacteria
Description: partial 16S ribosomal RNA
Rfam family: Bacterial small subunit ribosomal RNA
Source: RNAcentral